GUGAGCGCAGAGAAGCAUGUGGGCAGGGUGGGAGCGAUUUCAGCGACAGAAAGAAAGACAGAAGCCCCAGCGUGGGUCGCCUGCGUGCCUGGAUACGCGCUGGAAAUGCUCACCUAGAAAUACGGUUCUCGAUUCCCAUUCAAGCUUCAAUCGCCUUGGGAGCAGCAACCCCAGAUGCUAAUGCCAGUCACGUUUCAACAUUUGGAUCAAGACUGUGAACCGGGGUUAGGGACUGGGGAGGAGGGAAGAGAGGGAGGGAAAGGGAGGGAAUGGAAUUCAGACCAAGGAGAGGAUUGUGCAAUUACAAAGGGUUAGUCUGGGGCUAGGGGAUUGUGUAUCAUCUGAAAAUGGCCAAGCUCCCUGGACCGGGUGGAUCCAACAAUUUGGAGCUGAUUAAAUGUAUUUUGAUAUCUUGCUGUGGAUAACUAACAAGCUACUUGCCAAGGCUGUGAACUCUGGCUCCUGUGACCUUUGAUUCCGACAAAGCUGAUUCUGGAUAAAUUUUGAAAAUUGUGAAAUCAGGGAAGUUCUGAAUAUUUACAUUCCGCCCCAGAAGACAUGCGUGUGCGAGGAGCCAUCUAUAACCAGUCACCGCUUCCCACCAGGAAGUCUUGCUCCGGUUCAGGGGUUGUAGCGCUGUCUCCGCACUGACGCUGACUGCCUGGCAUUGAAGCAACGGGGCGAGACUCUGGAAAGGCGGAGAGGAAACGCCUUCUUGUUUCUAAAACGCGCUGGAGUCAGACACAGAGACUUGCUAAUUUUUCAUCAAUUAGUCGUGAGCGUGGGUCUUACGCACAGUCUACGAAGAGAGGUCAGAAACACCAGAGGAGAGAGAGAGUCAGGUCCCCGCUCUUGGGUCCAUUAAGGUCUCAUCGAGGCUCCCCAUUUUUAUCGAGAGCAGUGCAAGACAGGAGGUGUGUGCAGCCAGCGAGCGCGGGCAGGGACUAAAAGCUUGUGGAAGCCUCCUGAGCAGAGGAGCCCGAAUCCCCGGACAGCUGUAGUUAGUGCCUCUCUUGUCGGUAGACCGCACGCUGGAGUGAUCCUGGCCGUGCUGCCCCCGUGCCUGCAGGCGCAGUCUUCCCCAGGCGGUUACAGUUCCCACUGCCAGUUCUGGAGCCCAACGUCUGUGUGAGCUUGGGCCGGUUACUUACUGUCUCUGUGCCUCAGCUUCCUCACGGUUAAAAACUACAGAUGAGCAUACCAACCUUGUAGCCUUACCGUGAGGAAUAAAGGAGACCAUGUGUGGUAAAGGGAUGAUGGUGGCUUGGCAAUCAAUCAGCAUAGCUUCAUUGUUUCAUGGAAAAAGAGGAUUACUGAUACUCCUACACCUGUGCCACCCAAUGCAAUGCCCACCUGUGGCCACUGAGGGCUUGCAAAGUGGCUACAAUGAAUGGAGAACUACUGUGAAAUUCAUAGUGGAUUUUGAAGGUUGAGCAUUUUAAAAACCAACUAUUACUGAUAUAUCAAUAUGAUAAUAUUAUGGAUGUAUUGGGCUAAAUAAAAUAUAUUAUUGAAAUAUAUUAAAUAUUUAAAUUAGUAUAACUGUAUUAAAUAAUUGUUAUAAUCUAACCUAUUUUUUAUACAGAGAUCAUCAUACUUCUUUUUUUAGUGAUUUAUUUAUUUAUUUGAAAGGCAGAGUGAUCUUCUGUCUUCUGGUUCCCUCCCCAAAUGAAGGAGACAAAGAGGCCUAGGAUGGAUGGGGAGCAGAGGAGGCCAGGCAGACACAGUGGCGGGGGCAGAGGGAGGGUGAUCACUCUCCGAUGUGCCUGGCCUGGGCCAAGGCUGCCACAUAAAUUCUCUUACUCACCUGUGCCGCUCCUUCACAGCAGAAGUUGUUUUUUAUUUUAUUUUAUAAUUAUUUAAACAUUUUUAGAUUUUUUUUAAUGUGUGAUUGCUUAGUAUCAUUUACUUCUCUAAAGUUUAGCAUUUUCUUCUUGGUUGAUGCACCAUAAUCGUAUGUAUUUAUGUGGUGCAGCACGAUGCUCUGAUACAAGUAAUGUCUCAUCAGGGUAAUGAUCAUUAGGUCACCGGCCUUCGGCACCAACCACUUCUCCACGAGGAGAAUACUACUUUGGUUUUCAGGACAGUCUUUGAAGUGAGCCACGCUCCUCUUGCCAGGACUUUCAUGCAUCAACUAAAAAGUACGCUCAGGCUAGAACGCCAUGCUGGGGCCCGGAUCUCAGGCAGCAGAGCCCGCAGCACCUGCUCGUUGCACUCCAGGGACACACGGGGCGAGCAGGAGGGAAGCUGAGCACAAAGGAUUCUGCAGCGGUUGGGCCUCGAGGAGGCAGCGGGAGCGGGGGCCUCCUGGGGCAGGAGGGAUGGCUCAUGCUUGGUGAGACUCAGCUUGGUCAGACCCCAAGUGAAACAUCAGGAAACCCGCUCACUACUUCUGGUGCUCAUCCGGCAUCGCGUGUAUGUGCCUGCGGCCGUCACUACCAUGGGGAUGGAGGUGGGGCUGUCCUUGGCUAUGUCUGUGUCACCACCAGCCUGGUAGGCAGCGGGACGGGUGAGACACACAACAGAGACCAGGCACGGGAGAUGGUGAUGGGACAGUGCAGAGGACUGUGCAUACAUAUGCAGCUAACAACAGAGCUUCAAAUACAGGAGGGACUGGUACAAGGGAAGGGGAAACAGGCAGAUCCACAGUCGGUUGGAAACCUCAUUAUGUUUUAUUUUCCUCUGCAGCACCGGAAGACUAGAAUAUAAUUCAUCUUCUCUCGCCUUCUUGAAAAAUUGGAAGACUAAUAGUUUCCUGCCCUUAAGAGAAGGAAAUCAACUUUUUUUUCCAUUGAUGAUUAUUCUGACUUAGAAACUAAUGGGCCAUGGAGAAUGGCUGUAAAAGCAAAAGAGGCAGGAGAGAGUACCUUGGGGCACAAACAGGGGGAGGGACCCCGAGGAGCAGACGUCAAAGAUGGGAGUGGACGGGAGUCUCACAGAAUUGCACACGGCUCAGGCAGAGUUCAGGGGACAGCGAGGCCUCACCUGGGUACAUGGUGCCCGGGGGAGGUGGAUCUCCUGGCACUGAGAGCCUCAGCCCUUCUGAAGCUUUCCCUAGUACCACUAGUGAAUGGAUGCCACUGGGCCCAAAGGCAGGGUGUGAGCUGUGACACCAGGUGUGAAUGGUGAGAACAGGUGUGAACUGUGACACCAGGUGAGAACGGUGAGAACAGGGGUGAACAGUGACAACAGGUAUGAAUUGUGUGGUGACAACAGGUGUGAACAUGACAACAGGUGUGAAUUGUGUGGUGACACCAGGUGUGAACGGUGACAACAGGUGUCUAGGCAGUUAUUAACAGUCACAAAAACAGUUUGAAAAUGAAAGGAAGGGCCUCCAGGUGUCUUGGUGCAGCCCGACUCCAGGACUCAUUAAAUCUUUUGGAAAGUGUGGGGAGAGAGACGGUGAUAGUGAGAUUGGAUCAUCAGCUUGGUUCAUGGAAGUUUAGAGUUGAGUUAAUUUAUUUCUUCCUCCCUAUACGUACAACAGUAUGACUUUUAUCUUUAUCUUGUUCUCCUCAUCCCCUCUCUCCUCCCUCUCCCUCUCUUCUUUUUUUUUCUCCCCCCUCCCCAUUAUCACUCUUUCUUUCUUCUCUCUCCUUAGGAGUCGACUGGACUUCCGGUGUGGUGCUGAUGGGAGUGGUGAAGAAGCUAGCUUUGUCUUGUGUUGGAUCUAGAGGGACGAUCUUCAUUCUUCCACCAUAAAAAUGACCAUUCCUAUUGGGCGUUUGUACAUGCCCUUUACCAGGGUAAGGCAAUUCCUGUUGCUCGCAGUCAGCUGAGAGUUGUUACCGUGAGUGGAUGCUGAAUUUUGUCAAAUGUGUAUUCUGCAUCUAUUCAGCUAACCACAUGGUCUUCUUCUUGAGGCUGUUAAUACUGUGGAACACAUUGAUCGAUUUUCAAUUUGUGAACCAACCAAGAAUUCCUGGAAUAAACCUCUGUUGCUCGUGGUAUAUUAUCCUUUUUUUUUUUUUUUUUUUUUUUUUUUUGACAGGCAGAGUGGACAGUGAGAGAGAGAGAGACAGAGAGAAAGGUCUUCCUUUGCCGUCGGUUCACUCUCCAACGGCCGCCACGGCCAGCGCGCUGCGACCGGCGCACCGCACUGAUCCAAUGGCAGGAGCCAGGUGCUUAUCCUGGUCUCCCAUGGGGUGCAGGGCCCAAGCACUUGGGCCAUCCUCCACUGCACUCCCUGGCCACAGCAGAGAGCUGGCCUGGAAGAGGGGCAACCGGGACAGAAUCCGGUGCCCUGACCGGGGCUAGAACCUGGUGGCCGGCGCCGCAAGGCAGAGGAUUAGCCUAGUGAGCCACGGCGCUGGCGUAUCCUUUUUAUAUAUUGACAGAUUCUAUUUGUUGGUAUUUUGUUACAUCUAUGGUACUAUGUAGACCCCUAUUCUGCAGGGGAUACAAGCUAAGAUCCCCAACGGAUGCUUGAAACCAUAGUUAGGGUAGUUCAGAACCAUAGUUAGGGUAGUUCAGAACCCCAGCUAUACCACAUAUUUUUCAUAUAUAUAAGUACAUCCAUACCCACAAGAGGUUUAAUUGGUAAGUUAGACACCAUAAAAGGUCGCCAAUAAUAAAAUAGAAUAACUAUAACAAUGAACUAUAGCGAAAGCCAUGUGUGUGUGGUCUCUAUAAACCAACCUUAUUGUCCUUUCACACUUUACAGCCAUGGUUAAGUAAGGGUGACUUGCACACAAGCGCUGUGGUACCACAACAGCUGAACUGGCAAGCAACGUGACCGAGUGGCUAGCGGGCAGGCACAUGUACAGCAGGGGAGAAGCCAGACGAAGGGACGGAUCGUGGCCUGGCUGUGACACAGGGGAAGGUGCGGGAUUUCCUCAUGCUGCUUAGUGCCAUGUGCAAGUUCAAAUGUGCUUGUUCUCUAUUUCUGGAAUUUUUCAGUGACUGUUCUCAGACUGUGGUUAGCCGCGCAAGUAACUGAAACUGAGUUAGCAAAACCACAGAUAAGGGGGAUUACCGUAUUUGCAUCUGGGUUCCUGACGGAAAAUGGUCUAUGUUGCUUUUCUUACAAUAUCUUUUGUGUUGGCAUUACAGUAAUGCUGACCCCAUAAAAUGAAUUGGGAAGAGACCCUACCUCUUCUCUUUUCUGGACAAGAUUGUGCAAAAUUGAGUGACUUUGGGUGAUGCGUGUCUCCAAGGAAUUCCUCCAUUGUAUUGAUGGCUGACAUCAAGGAAAUAAAGUUGAGCGCAGAAUUCCUGUUUAAGCUUCUAACAACACUGGUGUCCGGCGUGAUGUCGCCUCUUCAUUUGUGGUUCUGGGCUUUGGUGUCUUCUCGCUCUCAGUUUCCCUGCUCAGUCUCGUGGCAGUUUUAUUAAUUUUGCCAAAGGAACAGAUUUGGUUUCACUGUGUUCCUCUCUCGCUUCUGUUUUCGUUUUCAUUGUUUCUGCUGGCAUCGUCACCGUUUCCUUCUUUCACUCCAUCUGUGGCUAUUUUGUGCUUCUCUUCCAGUUCCUUAACAUGGAGUUCAGAUGAGGGAGUUCAGGUCUAUGUAUUUUCUAGUUUAUGCAUUUAAUUUUUAUAAACUUUCCUGUAAGUCCUGUUUUAGCUGUGCGCUGCAUUUUGAUAUUACAAUUUCACUUUUAUUCCAUUCAAACUAUACGUUUGAUUUGCAUGGACAUUUUCUAUUUGACUCAUGGGUUAUUGAAAAAUACACUUUUUACUGCGAAGGUUUUGAGGGUUUUCCCUAUAACUUCUGUUACUGAUGUCUAAUUUAAUUCUGCUAUUGUCUGAGAACAUAUUUUUCAGAGUUCCUAGUAUUUUUUGAUUUGUUGGACAGUAUUUGAUGGCCCAGAAUAAGACCUGUCUUGGUGAAAGCGCCCCAUCCACUUGGAACCAUUACGCAUUCUGCCGAUCUUGAUGGAACGGUGUAGAGAAGUCGCUGGGUCAGCAUGGUUGGCAGUGGUAUUCAGGCCUUUUGUAUUCUUAUACUUGGCCCAUGUAUUAUCCUUGGGCCUCUGCACCCACGUGGGAGACCCAGAAGAAACUCCUGGCUCCUGACUUCGGAUUGGCUCAGCUCUGGCCAUUGUGGCCAUCGGGGAGUGAGCCAACGGAUGGAAGACCACUCUCUCUGUCUCUAUCUCUCUCUGUAAUUCUGUCUUUAAAAUAAAUAAAAUAAAUCUUUUCUUAAAUAUGUGGCUACUCUAGACAUACACAGCAUGCAUCUUUAAGUAAUCAAGGAGUAUCUUCAAAUAACACAUUGCCUCGGGCACAGCGUAGGGACCUCACAACAGUGUACGCACGCCCCCAUCCUCUGCUUGUGUCGUCAGAGCACUGGACUGAUACACACAGUAAGCAAAACAGACUGACACUAUUUUCGCUUUGAAUGUGCCUUUACCUCUUAGAGUAAUAAAGCUUUUUUUUUUUUAAAGAAAGAACUUUAUUUUGCCGUCAUUUUCCCAUUUCUAUUAUGCUACACUUCUUUGUGUUAAUACAGGUUCCAAUUUGGUGUCAUAUUCUUGUGCCUGAAGGACUUCUUUUAAAAUUCCUUGUGCUGGAGACCUGCUGACAAUGGAUUCUCUCAGUGAUUGUUUGAAAAAGUCUAUUUCUCUUCCAUUUUUCAAAAAGAUGUAUUUAUAUGUUUGAAAGGCAGAGCAAAAGAAAGAAGGAGAGACAGAGAGAGAGACAGACAGAAAUCUUCCAUCUACUAGUCAACACCCCAAAGUGGGCCAGAUCUGGGCCAGGGUGAAGCCAAGGAUCAGGGUCUACCUGGGUCUUGCACAUGGGUGCAGGGGCCCAAAUGUCUGAGCCGUGCUCCAUUGCUUUUCUGGGUGCAUUAGCAGGGAGUCGGAUGAGAAGCAGAGCAACCGGGUCUUGAACCAGUGCUGGUGGGAUGCUGGCAUUGCAAGCAGGGGCUUGACCUGCUGUGCCACAGCGCUGCCCCCCCCCACCCCUAUCUUUCAUUUUUUGAAGCUAUCAUCACUAGGUAUAGAUUUCUGGGUUGAUAGUUUUGUUUUUCUUUCAGCGUUUGAAAGCUGUCAAUUACUUGAGCUAUUACUGCUGUCUCUUGGGGUCUGCAUUAGCAGGAAGCUGGAGUCAAAAGCUGGAGUGGAGUGUGGAACUCAGGAGCUCCAGUGCAGGAUUCAGGCUGCUUAACCUUCAUCUUAACAGUUGGCUAAAAGCCAGCAUUUAUCAGGUGUUCUCUGAGCCUUGUAGAUCUGUAGCUUGGUAUCAGUAAUUCUAGAAAAUUCUCAGCCACUAUUUCUUCAAAUAUUUCUUCCACCCUACUCUCUUUUCGGUUUUUGUACUCUUAAUUACGUGCACGUCAGAAUAUUUGACAUUGUCCCACGGUUCGUGUAUGUUUGGUUUUCUCUUUGUGUUUCAGUUUGAGCAAUUUCUAUAGACCUUCUGUAAGUCCAUCAAUUCCUUCUUUCACUGUGUCAAGUCUGCUCGUGAGCCCAUUGGACAUAUUCUUUAUUUCUGUUACUGUGUUUUCAUUUCUAGCAUUUCCUUUGGUUUCUCUCUUACGAUUUCUGUGUUCUUGCUGAAAGGACCCUACAUCUUGCACAUUGCUCGUAUUUCUAGCCAUGGUUGUUUUCUGUUCCCUAGCAAACAGUCCAACACCUGCAUGUAUCUGAUCCUGUGGGUUCCAGUGUGUACUGCUGACAGCUGAGUCUGGGUCUGACACGUGGUUCUGGGCCUGCAAUGUUCUCCCGCCUCUCCCUCAGGGUAGAGUGUUCUUUCUCUCCCCUUACGCCAGAUCCCAAGGUUGUUUUCUUCUAAGAUUUAUUUGAAAGUCAGAGUUACACAGGGAGAGGGAGAGGGAGAGGGAGAGGGAGAGGGAGAGGGAGAGGGAGAGGGAGAGGGAGAGGGAGAGGGAGAGGGAGAGGGAGAGAGAUAUCUUUCAUCUACUGGUUCACUUCCAAAAUGGCCACAACA
This is a non-coding RNA of Oryctolagus cuniculus (rabbit), 7894 nucleotides long. NCBI's taxonomy places the organism in Eukaryota, Metazoa, Chordata, Mammalia, Lagomorpha, Leporidae. The record is from RefSeq and is a predicted model, not a curated record.